This 253-nucleotide ribosomal RNA is filed under the name uncultured bacterium. Its description in RNAcentral is "partial 16S ribosomal RNA". It matches the Rfam family "Bacterial small subunit ribosomal RNA", at positions 524 to 776 of the family's 1533-position model. The record is from RNAcentral.
UACGGAGGGUGCAAUCGUUAUCCGGAUUUACUGGGUUUAAAGGGUGCGUAGGUGGGCAUGUAAGUCAGUGGUGAAAUACCGGAGCUUAACUUCGGAACUGCCAUUGAUACUAUAUGUCUUGAAUAUUGUGGAGGUAAGCGGAAUAUGUCAUGUAGCGGUGAAAUGCAUAGAUAUGACAUAGAACACCGAUUGCGGAGGCAGCCUGCUACGCAAAUAUUGACGCUGAGGCACGAAAGCGUGGGGAGAAAACAGG